GUGAAUCAUCGAAUCUUUGAACGCACAUUGCGCUUCCUGGUAUUCCGGGGAGUAUGCCUGUUUGAGGGUCAGUAUUAUUUAAACUUCGGUUUAGUUACCAAUUGUGACGUUUGCGGAGUUUGGGCUAUUUUAACAUUUUUGGUUAAGAGGCUUAAAAUUGACAUUUUUUGCGCAUUUUUAAACGUACUUAAAUUUUUUUUUAUUCGUUUAUUCUUACUGUCAUGAUCUUAUUCGAUGCGAUCCAGUUGUG
RNAcentral lists this unclassified non-coding RNA (250 nucleotides) under Glomeraceae sp. RNAcentral's name for it is "partial contains 5.8S ribosomal RNA and internal transcribed spacer 2". The stretch from base 1 to 71 matches the Rfam family "5.8S ribosomal RNA", at positions 84 to 154 of the family's 154-position model. The record is from RNAcentral. Lineage: Eukaryota; Fungi; Glomeromycota; Glomeromycetes; Glomerales; Glomeraceae.